GGGCCUUUAGCUCAGUUGGUUAGAGCAGAGGACUCAUAAUCCUUUGGUCGCGGGUUCGAGCCCCGCAGGGCCCACCA
Molecule: transfer RNA, 77 nt
Filed under: Vogesella indigofera
Lineage: Bacteria; Pseudomonadati; Pseudomonadota; Betaproteobacteria; Neisseriales; Chromobacteriaceae
Also listed under: 12 other names
Description: tRNA-Ile
Rfam family: tRNA
About the family: Transfer RNA (tRNA) molecules are approximately 80 nucleotides in length. Their secondary structure includes four short double-helical elements and three loops (D, anti-codon, and T loops).
Source: RNAcentral